Molecule: long non-coding RNA, 459 nt
Filed under: Cebus imitator (Panamanian white-faced capuchin)
Lineage: Eukaryota; Metazoa; Chordata; Mammalia; Primates; Cebidae
Description: lncRNA (ENSCCAG00000038136.1)
Source: RNAcentral
UCACUCCCUCAUAGCCUCAGGAGUGUGCCCUAGCUGGCCUGUGGGGCUCCAGGUGGCAGGCUUGGCCGCCCUCCCCGUGGAAAUCCCCACUCCAAGCAGAUCACGAGGAGCCUCCGUUUCCUGCUAUUGUGGCAGUCUGAAGAGAACCGGAGCAGAGCUGGAGGUGACUGUGAGGCCUGGGCUCCAGGCAUCCCCUGAGAGCAGAUGGGGCCUCCCAGACCAGGAAUGCCCCACCAUCACUACACCACACAGUUGACACGUCAAAGGCAUUAUGAGGAACAAGAUGAAACCAAAGGGGCCCAGAGUAUGAUGCCACACCAACAAAAGAAAGAACCUAGAUGUCAUCUAGUCCAAUACCAACUGUUCAGAUAAGUCUUGGGAUAUGUGCCUCACUGAAGGCCACACAGCUAUUAGGGGCAGUCAGAUCUCCUGGCAUCUGGGCCAGAAAAUAUCCUGAGC